UUAAUAUUCCUGUACUUGGUGUUACUGCGAAGGGGACGGAGAAGGCUAUGUUGGCCGGGCGACGGUUGUCCCGGUUUAAGCGUGUAGGCUGGUUUUCCAGGCAAAUCCGGAAAAUCAAGGCUGAGGCGUGAUGACGAGGCACUACGGCGCUGAAGCAACAAAUGCCCUGCUUCCAGGAAAAGCCUCUAAGCAUCAGGUAACAUCAAAUCGCCCAAACCGACACAGGUGGUCAGGUAGAGAAUACCAAGGCGCUUGAGAGAACUCGGGUGAAGGAACUAGGCAAAAUGGUGCCGUAACUUCGGGAGAAGGCACGCUGAUAUGUAGGUGAAGCGACUUGCUCGUGGAGCUGAAAUCAGUCGAAGAUACCAGCUGGCUGCAACUGUUUAUUAAAAAACAGCACUGUGCAAACACGAAAGUGGACGUAUACGGUGUGACGCCUGCCCGGUGCCGGAAGGUUAAUUGAUGGGGUUAGCGCAAGCGAAGCUCUUGAUCGAAGCCCCGGUAAACGGCGGCCGUAACGAUAACUGUCCUAAGGUAGCGAAAUUCCUUGUCGGGUAAGUUCCGACCUGCACGAAUGGCGUAAUGAUGGCCAGGCUGUCUCCACCGAGACUCAGUGAAAUUGAACUCGCUGUGAAGAUGCAGUGUACCCGCGGCAAGACGGAAAGACCCGUGAACCUUUACUAUAGCUUGACACUGAACAUUGAGCCUUGAUGUGUAGGAUAGGUGGGAGGCUUUGAAGUGUGGACGCCAGUCUGCAUGGAGCCGACCUUGAAAUACCACCCUUUAAUGUUUGAUGUUCUAACGUUGACCCGUAAUCCGGGUUGCGGACAGUGUCUGGUGGGUAGUUUGACUGGGGCGGUCUCCUCCUAAAGAGUAACGGAGGAGCACGAAGGUUGGCUAAUCCUGGUCGGACAUCAGGAGGUUAGUGCAAUGGCAUAAGCCAGCUUGACUGCGAGCGUGACGGCGCGAGCAGGUGCGCAGGUCAUAGUGAUCCGGUGGUUCUGAAUGGAAGGGCCAUCGCUCAACGGAUAAAAGGUACUCCGGGGAUAACAGGCUGAUACCGCCCAAGAGUUCAUAUCGACGGCGGUGUUUGGCACCUCGAUGUCGGCUCAUCACAUCCUGGGGCUGAAGUAGGUCCCAAGGGUAUGGCUGUUCGCCAUUUAAAGUGGUACGCGAGCUGGGUUUAGAACGUCGUGAGACAGUUCGGUCCCUAUCUGCCGUGGGCGCUGGAGAACUGAGGGGCUGCUCCUAGUACGAGAGACCGGAGUGGACGCAUCACUGGUGUUCGGGUUGUCAUGCCAAUGGCACUGCCCGGUAGCUAAAUGCGGAAGAGAUAAGUGCUGAAAGCAUCUAAGCACGAAACUUGCCCCGAGAUGAGUUCUCCCUGACUCCUUGAGAGUCCUGAAGGAACGUUGAAGACGACGACGUUGAUAGGCCGGGUGUGUAAGCGCAGCGAUGCGUUGAGCUAACCGGUACUAAUGAACCGUGAGGCUUAACCUC
This 1500-nucleotide ribosomal RNA is filed under the name metagenome. RNAcentral describes it as "bacterial LSU rRNA". It matches the Rfam family "Bacterial large subunit ribosomal RNA", at positions 1430 to 2925 of the family's 2925-position model. The record is from RNAcentral.